GACGAACGCUGGCGGCGUGCUUAACACAUGCAAGUCGAACGAAGAGCGAUGGAAGCUUGCUUCUAUCAAUCUUAGUGGCGAACGGGUGAGUAACGCGUAAUCAACCUGCCCUUCAGAGGGGGACAACAGUUGGAAACGACUGCUAAUACCGCAUACGAUCUGACCUCGGCAUCGAGGAUGGAUGAAAGGUGGCCUCUAUUUAUAAGCUAUCACUGAAGGAGGGGAUUGCGUCUGAUUAGCUAGUUGGAGGGGUAACGGCCCACCAAGGCGAUGAUCAGUAGCCGGUCUGAGAGGAUGAACGGCCACAUUGGGACUGAGACACGGCCCAGACUCCUACGGGAGGCAGCAGUGGGGAAUCUUCCGCAAUGGACGAAAGUCUGACGGAGCAACGCCGCGUGAGUGAUGACGGCCUUCGGGUUGUAAAGCUCUGUUAAUCGGGACGAAAGGCCUUCUUGCGAAUAGUUAGAAGGAUGACGGUACC
Molecule: ribosomal RNA, 481 nt
Filed under: Veillonella dispar
Lineage: Bacteria; Bacillati; Bacillota; Negativicutes; Veillonellales; Veillonellaceae
Description: bacterial SSU rRNA
Rfam family: Bacterial small subunit ribosomal RNA
Source: RNAcentral